GUGUCAGCCGCCGCGGUAAUACGUAGGGUGCGAGCGUUAAUCGGAAUUACUGGGCGUAAAGCGUGCGCAGGCGGAUUGUUAAGCAAGAUGUGAAAUCCCCGGGCUUAACCUGGGAAUGGCAUUUUGAACUGGCAGUCUAGAGUGCGUCAGAGGGGGGUGGAAUUCCACGUGUAGCAGUGAAAUGCGUAGAGAUGUGGAGGAACACCGAUGGCGAAGGCAGCCCCCUGGGAUGACACUGACGCUCAUGUACGAAAGCGUGGGUAGCAAACAGGAUUAGAAACCCGCGUAGUCC
RNAcentral lists this ribosomal RNA (292 nucleotides) under uncultured bacterium. RNAcentral's name for it is "partial 16S ribosomal RNA". It matches the Rfam family "Bacterial small subunit ribosomal RNA", at positions 505 to 796 of the family's 1533-position model. The record is from RNAcentral.